GAUGAACGCUAGCGGCAGGCUUAACACAUGCAAGUCGAGGGGUAUAGUUCUUCGGAACUAGAGACCGGCGCACGGGUGCGUAACGCGUAUGCAAUCUACCUUUCACAGAGGGAUAGCCCAGAGAAAUUUGGAUUAAUACCUCAUAGUAUUAUAGAAUGGCAUCAUUUUAUAAUUAAAGUCACAACGGUGAAAGAUGAGCAUGCGUCCCAUUAGCUAGAUGGAAGGUAACGGCUUACCAUGGCUACGAUGGGGUAGGGGUCCUGAGAGGGAGACUCCCCCACACUGGUACUGAGACACGGACCAGACUCCUACGGGAGGCAGCAGUGAGGAAUAUUGGACAAUGGGCGCAAGCCUGAUCCAGCCAUGCCGCGUGCGAGGAUGACGGUCCUAUGGAUUGUAAACUGUCUUUUGUACGAGAAGAAACACUACUUCGUGAAGUAG
This 441-nucleotide ribosomal RNA is filed under the name uncultured bacterium. RNAcentral's name for it is "bacterial SSU rRNA". It matches the Rfam family "Bacterial small subunit ribosomal RNA", at positions 28 to 467 of the family's 1533-position model. The record is from RNAcentral.